This 168-nucleotide small nuclear RNA is filed under the name Castor canadensis (American beaver). RNAcentral describes it as "U2 spliceosomal RNA (ENSCCNG00000017009.1)". It matches the Rfam family "U2 spliceosomal RNA". From Rfam's summary of the family: U2 is a small nuclear RNA (snRNA) component of the spliceosome (involved in pre-mRNA splicing). Complementary binding between U2 snRNA (in an area lying towards the 5' end but 3' to hairpin I) and the branchpoint sequence (BPS) of the intron results the bulging out of an unpaired adenosine, on the BPS, which initiates a nucleophilic attack at the intronic 5' splice site, thus starting the first of two transesterification reactions that mediate splicing. The record is from Rfam by way of RNAcentral. Lineage: Eukaryota; Metazoa; Chordata; Mammalia; Rodentia; Castoridae.
AUUGCUUCUUGGCUUUUUGGCUAAGAUCAAAUGUAGUAUCUAUUAUUAUGAGUUGAAUAUUUACUUGAGGACAACAUAUUAAAUAGAUUUUCGGAGCAAAAUAGCUUGUUCUAUCUACUCCUUGCAUCAAUCUGAUUUGGCAGUACCUCCAGUAAUACAGCAACCCCU